Molecule: small nucleolar RNA, 132 nt
Organism: Sorex fumeus (smoky shrew)
Lineage: Eukaryota; Metazoa; Chordata; Mammalia; Eulipotyphla; Soricidae
Product: small nucleolar RNA SNORA9
Exons: 1
Source: RefSeq, a predicted model, not a curated record
GUGCAGGCCUCCAGUGUGCUUGGGUUUGGAGUGACCCUUUGCAUUUCUACAGUGCUUGCAAGAAUAAGAUGAAAUGGUUUGAGGCUUUGCCCUGUUCUAUCCAGAGCAAGGUUAUAGAAAUUACACAGAACU